RNAcentral lists this ribosomal RNA (253 nucleotides) under uncultured bacterium. Its description in RNAcentral is "partial 16S ribosomal RNA". It matches the Rfam family "Bacterial small subunit ribosomal RNA", at positions 524 to 776 of the family's 1533-position model. The record is from RNAcentral.
UACGGAGGGGGCGAGCGUUAUUCGGAAUUAUUGGGCGUAAAGGGCGCGUAGGCGGCCUUGUAAGUCAAAGGUGAAAUCCCUCGGCUCAACUGAGGAACUGCCUUUGAAACUGCAAGGCUUGAGGCCGGGAGGGGGUAGCGGAAUUCCCAAUGUAGCGGUGAAAUGCGUAGAUAUUGGGAGGAACACCAGUGACGAAGGCGGCUACCUGGACCGGUUCUGACGCUGAGGCGCGAAAGCGUGGGUAGCAAACAGG